RNAcentral lists this ribosomal RNA (408 nucleotides) under Limnonectes bannaensis (large-headed frog). RNAcentral describes it as "partial 16S ribosomal RNA". It matches the Rfam family "Bacterial large subunit ribosomal RNA", at positions 1834 to 2459 of the family's 2925-position model. Lineage: Eukaryota; Metazoa; Chordata; Amphibia; Anura; Dicroglossidae. The record is from RNAcentral.
CUUGAUAAAAUAUAAGAGGUCCAGCCUGCCCAGUGAUAUAAUUAAACGGCCGCGGUACCCUGACCGUGCAAAGGUAGCAUAAUCACUUGUUCUCUAAAUAGGGACUCGUAUCAACGGCAUCACGAGGGUUAUACUGUCUCCCCCCUCUAAUCAGUGAAACUGACCUCCCCGUGAAGAGGCGGGGAUAUUUAUACAAGACGAGAAGACCCCAUGGAGCUUUAAACCCAAUAACAACCUCCACCAAAGUACCCUAAAAAUGAAGAGGCACUGUUUAUUGGUUUUAGGUUGGGGUGACCACGGAGAAAAACUAAACCUCCAUGACGAAUGGACCUUAAGCCUAAUCUAAGAGCCACUACUCCAAGAAUCAUUAAUUUGACAUAAUUUGAUCCGGCAACGAUCAACGAACCA